AGAGUUUGAUCCUGGCUCAGAACGAACGCUGGCGGCGUGCUUAACACAUGCAAGUCGAACGCGAAAGGGACUUCGGUCCUGAGUAAAGUGGCGCACGGGUGAGUAACGCGUAGAUAACCUGUCUUUAUGUCUGGAAUAAUACGCCGAAAGGGGUACUAAUACCGGAUAUUUUUGCAUUGCACAAGUGAUGCAAGCAAAGGUGGCCUCUGACAUAAGCUACUGCAUAAAGAGGGGUCUGCGUACCAUUAGCUAGUAGGUGGGGUAAAGGCCUACCUAGGCUACGAUGGUUAGCGGGUCUGAGAGGAUGAUCCGCCACACUGGCACUGGAACACGGGCCAGACUCCUACGGGAGGCAGCAGUGAGGAAUAUUGCGCAAUGGGGGCAACCCUGACGCAGCGACGCCGCGUGAGUGAGGAAGGCCUUCGGGUCGUAAAGCUCUGUCAAAGGGAAAGAAGUGCAUGGAGGUUAAUACCCUUCAUGUUUGACGGUACCCUUAAAGGAAGCACCGGCUAACUCCGUGCCAGCAGCCGCGGUAAUACGGAGGGUGCAAGCGUUGUUCGGAAUUACUGGGCGUAAAGGGCGCGUAGGCGGUUUGAUAAGUCAGAUGUGAAAGCCCACGGCUUAACCGUGGAAGUGCAUUUGAAACUGUCAGACUUGAGUACCAGAGGGGAAAGUGGAAUUCCCGGUGUAGAGGUGAAAUUCGUAGAUAUCGGGAGGAAUACCGGUGGCGAAGGCGACUUUCUGGCUGGAUACUGACGCUGAGGCGCGAAAGCGUGGGGAGCAAACAGGAUUAGAUACCCUGGUAGUCG
This 809-nucleotide ribosomal RNA is filed under the name uncultured bacterium. RNAcentral's name for it is "bacterial SSU rRNA". It matches the Rfam family "Bacterial small subunit ribosomal RNA", at positions 8 to 796 of the family's 1533-position model. The record is from RNAcentral.